AUCUAAGUACCCCGAGGAAAAGAAAUCAACCGAGAUUCCCCCAGUAGCGGCGAGCGAACGGGGAGGAGCCCAGAGCCUGAAUCAGCAUGUGUGUUAGUGGAAGCGUCUGGAAAGGCGCGCGAUACAGGGUGACAGCCCCGUACACAAAAGCGCAUGUGCUGUGAGCUCGAUGAGUAGGGCGGGACACGUGGUAUCCUGUCUGAAUAUGGGGGGACCAUCCUCCAAGGCUAAAUACUCCUGACUGACCGAUAGUGAACCAGUACCGUGAGGGAAAGGCGAAAAGAACCCCGGCGAGGGGAGUGAAAAAGAACCUGAAACCGUGUACGUACAAGCAGUGGGAGCACAGGUUUACCUGUGUGACUGCGUACCUUUUGUAUAAUGGGUCAGCGACUUAUAUUCUGUAGCAAGGUUAACCGUAUAGGGGAGCCGGAGGGAAACCGAGUCUUAACCGGGCGUUAAGUUGCAGGGUAUAGACCCGAAACCCGGUGAUCUAGCCAUGGGCAGGUUGAAGGUUGGGUAACACUAACUGGAGGACCGAACCGACUAAUGUUGAAAAAUUAGCGGAUGACCUGUGGCUGGGGGUGAAAGGCCAAUCAAACCGGGAGAUAGCUGGUUCUCCCCGAAAGCUAUUUAGGUAGCGCCUCGUGAAUUCAUCUCCGGGGGUAGAGCACUGUUUCGGCUAGGGGGCCAUCCCGGCUUACCAACCCGAUGCAAACUGCGAAUACCGGAGAAUGUUAUCACGGGAGACACACGGCGGGUGCUAACGUCCGUCGUGAAGAGGGAAACAACCCAGACCGCCAGCUAAGGUCCCAAAGUCAUGGUUAAGUGGGAAACGAUGUGGGAAGGCCCAGACAGCCAGGAUGUUGGCUUAGAAGCAGCCAUCAUUUAAAGAAAGCGUAAUAGCUCACUGGUCGAGUCGGCCUGCGCGGAAGAUGUAACGGGGCUAAACCAU
Molecule: ribosomal RNA, 952 nt
Filed under: Salmonella enterica
Lineage: Bacteria; Pseudomonadati; Pseudomonadota; Gammaproteobacteria; Enterobacterales; Enterobacteriaceae
Also listed under: 1 other name
Description: partial 23S ribosomal RNA
Rfam family: Bacterial large subunit ribosomal RNA
Source: RNAcentral